This 301-nucleotide ribosomal RNA is filed under the name uncultured bacterium. Its description in RNAcentral is "partial 16S ribosomal RNA". It matches the Rfam family "Bacterial small subunit ribosomal RNA", at positions 509 to 809 of the family's 1533-position model. The record is from RNAcentral.
CAGCCGCCGCGGGAAUACGAAGGGUGCAAGCGUUAAUCGGAAUUACUGGGCGUAAAGCGCGCGUAGGUGGUUUGGUAAGAUGGAUGUGAAAUCCCCGGGCUCAACCUGGGAACUGCAUCCAUAACUGCCUGACUAGAGUACGGUAGAGGGUGGUGGAAUUUCCUGUGUAGCGGUGAAAUGCGUAGAUAUAGGAAGGAACACCAGUGGCGAAGGCGACCACCUGGACUGAUACUGACACUGAGGUGCGAAAGCGUGGGGAGCAAACAGGAUUAGAGACCCGUGUAGUCCCUGUCUCUUAUAU